This 4887-nucleotide long non-coding RNA is filed under the name Microcebus murinus (gray mouse lemur). Its description in RNAcentral is "lncRNA (ENSMICG00000048616.1)". The record is from RNAcentral. Lineage: Eukaryota; Metazoa; Chordata; Mammalia; Primates; Cheirogaleidae.
CUUUUCUCUAUAGUAGCAACAAGCUAAAAAUAAUGUAAUUAUCCAACAAUAAAAGGCAUUUCCUGUUCAUCUUUUUGCUCCUUGGUGCUCAGGCUGUAGGUCGAGGGUGACUCAUCCCCUCCCCCGGGCCUUGCCUGCUGGGAGGCUGGGGCUAACCUAUGGCCUGGCAGCCUCGGCCUCUGUCUUUCCUAAGAAUCUGUUCCAGCCAGCUGACCUGCCUGGCCCUUCCCAAUCUGACAGGAGACCUCCUCAUUCCUGGGGUGCUGAAUGGCACAGUCCUGCCCACAGCAACCGAUGACAAAAGUGCAUCUAAUCUGCACACCCAGUUUGCUCCCUCUCCCAUGAAUGCAGGCUGCACCCGAGGAGCUGCGCCUGCUCCCCUGCUUGCCCCUGCGCAGCACAAACAACCUCGGUACCGUCAGUGAAAUCCUCAGAUCGCUCGCAGUGCGCAGCGCCCCCACUUCUCAGUCACAUGUCAGGCCCAGAAGCAGCUAUGAUGAUUACAGCAUCACCUCCCUCCUCUCCAUCUACACAGUUGAACAGCUGCGCUGCAGUCUAGAAAAGUCACCCUGAAAACCAGCUCUAGUUUGAGGAGGUGACAUGUUCUUGCUUUGUCCCCAAAGAUGUUCUUCUGCUGUCCUCGCAGGGGGGAGUACCUCCUGGGCUGGCUGCAGCAGUCCUGCCCAGGGAGGGAGAGAUCUGGCCACCAGUACGGAAGCUGAAUGUCACCAGUCUGGGAUGAGCAGUCAUUUUGAUGGGCAUGCACAACUGCUUCUGAUGGAACUGAGACAAAAAGAAAACAUAAGGAAAAAAAUUUCCUCCUGUGAAAUGGAAGAAUGGGAACAGGUGCGGAAAGGGUCCGGGAAUGUGCGUGGCAUCGAGUAUGUUCUGGGUAAGAAUCAGCUUUGGCUGAGGAACCGUGCCCGGGGAGGGGUGUCAGCCACUCUUCCUCUCCCCACAGAAGCCCAGCCCCAGAGCCCUGGCAGCUCUCAGGCCGUGUGCCUCAAGAGGAAAGAAGGAAUGGAGAGCAGAGGGGAGACUCGCUCAGAGCACAUUCUUGGUGGUGGUGUCCGUGUCGCUGGGCUGUGAGCUCCACAGAGGCAGCCCACGGUCACUCUCAUCCCCUGCUCUGUCCCCAGACCUGGCUCACUGCCUGCCUUGCAACAGAAGCCCAGGAUGUACUUGGGGAACGAAUGGAACAGUGAGUGUCUCCGGACUAUGUAAGCUGCCUAGUGACCGUCACCCAGAACAGUGACUGCAUGCUUUCUGCCAGUCUGGGGAAAGUCCCUCUGCUCACUCUAGGCCCAACUCAUGGCCCAUCUGGUCAUUUCUUUUCCUCCUCUCAUGCCUGCCCAUUCCACUGCCCCUUCCCUUGCCACCGCUUCUCCUCUGGGCUGUUGGCACAGCCUCCUCCAACAACGCUCCCUGCCCCCAUCCCCUUCUCUCCCCCACUUUCUAAUCUGCCUCAUCUGCGUGAGAUUCUGAAUUCAUAUGUCCCAGCUCUUACCCUGUAGCCGCCACAUCCAAGACUAUACUGGCUCCAGGAUGACCACAGGAGGAGAGCCAGCAGUCCGGCCUGGCUCCCUUCCUGCAUCCCAGCUCCCUCUGGCCCUCUGGCAGGCUCAGGCUUUGCUCGAAGUCUGCCGUCACCUCUUUGAUCCUGCCCUUUCCUGCCGCUGCCUGUCCCAUCCAAUCUGCAUGGCCCUCAACAGAAGGGAGAACUAGGGCUUGAGAAUCAGAGAUGUGGGUUUGAACUCUGGUCCCCUAGUUCCUACCCGAGGGGACAAUGACAAAUUCUUUAACCUGAGCCUCAAUGUUCUUUUCUCUAAAACAGGCAAUAAAAGUACCUACCUGUGUCCUUGUGUGUCUAUAAGGAGAAUGUGUGUACAAAGGGCCUGGCACAUGGGACAGCUUAAAGAAUGGUAGAUAUGAUUUUCGGUAAAUCCUAUAAGUAUAAAAAGAAAAAAAAGGCUAAAAAUGGAGCUAUAAUUUUUUUCUCAGUCCUCUACCAGCCAAAACACCGGAGGAAACUUCACUAAGCCUGCUGAAUACACUGCCGCAAGGGGACAGGGCGUCGAGUGUGGGUGCUGCCGCCCCAGCCUAGUGGGCCACGCCCUGAAGAGAAGCUCCCCCAACUCCCGUGCACCUUGGGAGGGAGGCCUCCUGGGCUGAAAGGCCAAGUGCGCCACGACGACGGGAAACCGGGAAACCGCAGGGAAGACAGGCCAGAAGCAGAGCCCUUCCAUGCUCAACCGCAGGCAUUUGGGACUGGCUCACGAGUGAGCACUAUGGAUGGGGAAGAUUCAGACAGACAGACAGACAGACAGCCUGUGGUCCCCCGACUGGGAGCUCCCUGAGGGCAGAGUCAUGAGCCUAAAGAUGGUUUGAGUAAGGGUGCCUCCAGAUUCCUGCUGAAACUUAGUCCCCGGUGCAACAGUGCUAAGAGGCGUGGCCUUUCGGAGGCGAUGAGUCAUCAGGGCUCUGCCCUCACAAUGGAAUGGGAGUAGGUGCCCUUCUAGAAAGGGUGGAUUUGGGGAGUGCACCCUUUUCCUCCCUUUCUGUCCUUCUGCCGCGUGAGGACACAGCGUCCCCCCUCUGGAGGGUGCAGCAACACCAUGCGUCCUGGAAGCGGAGGGCAGCCCUCACCAGACAGCUGAACCUGUGGGCACCUUGACCUCGGACUUCCGGCUCUGGAGCUGUGAGGAAUAAAUUUCUGUUUUUUAUAAAUUACCCAGUCUCAGGUAUCUUGCUAAAGCAGCCCCAACAAACUAAGACAAAGUUGUCCCAAGAAGAGGACACUCGAACGUCUCAGAAGUAGAAUGGCCUCCUUGGAGUAGGAAGCCCCCAGCCUGGAGGGGAUCCCGGAAGGGACGUUAUGACCACAUAACAAGUGUGACCAGUACCAGGGCAGAGAGGGACACUGCAGACGGGCUCUCUCAUUCGAUGCCCCUCGAGAGCCCAGCCUCCAAGAGGCCCCGAGUUUUCAGUGGGCUUCCAGUUGCUGGAAAGCAAGAAUGCACCAAGGGAGCCCAUCUGUCAGUCAGACAAGUAAUUAAGGAAAGUAGGUGCUUUCAAUACCAGGUAAUGUCAGCACCAGGGGCUGUACACAAAGCCGGGUUAUUUUUAGUAUUCGGGGAAGGCACAUUCUUCUUCUGAUAAUAAGAAUAAAGAAAGCAAUUAGAACCUCCAAGAAAAUGAAAAGCUGUGCAGAAAAGCUGCAGCCCAAAUGUAAAGCAAUGAAGCACAGCCGCCUUUGAGCAACUGAUGGGCAUGGAAAAUUAAACACAUUUGACCUUGGCGCUAAGAACCCCUUCUUCAUGGCCUGUGUGUCACAACAUUGGAUCAGUAGGGAAGCAAAUGUAAUCCUUGGAUCUUCCUUGCUCAGCAGUGACAGUGGCCUGUGUUCCCACAGGCAUGGGAAUGUAACAUCAGUUUACUGACUUUUUGUUUAACUUUUAGCGUCAAUCUAUAGACAAAAUGCAACCGUUGCAAUGAUGACUUCAGAACAGUAUCUAAAUAUUGUCAUCUUUUAAAAUGCAAGACUAUUAAAGAUUUAAGUUGAAAGGUAGAGGAUUGAGGAGUGGAAUAGGAGAGACAGGAGUGAAAAGUUUCUCCUUUUAUACAGCGGGUAGUCAUUAGGUUGUAUCUCCACUCCAUGGAGUAGGAAGUGAGGUUUAUUAGUUAGAGCUCGAAUGUAAUCAGUAGAACCAAGAAUAUUUUCAUUAGCAAAAACCAGGAAGAGUGGGGAGGGAUGAAAGGGAGCUGUAUAAGUGACCUAAAACCUUAUUUUUCGUAGGUGAGUGGAUUCGUUCCCUAGGGCUGCCAUGACGAACUACAAGAAACUGGGCGACUUAGGCGACAUGCAGUUGGCAUCUCACCGUUCUGGAGGCUGCGUGUGAGUCACGGUGUCGCAGUGUCGGCUUCUGCGGGCCGUGAGGGAAGACCUGUCCCAGGCCUCUCCCCAGCGUCUGCUGGCUUGCUGGUGACCUUCGCUGGACCCUGGCUUGUGGAUACAUCACUGCGACAGCUGCCUUCGUCUCCGUCUGAUGCUCUCCUGCGACUUCACCUUGUCUUCCCUCUGUGUCCAAAUUGCCCCUUUGUAUAGACAGCAAGAAUUCUAAAUCUGAAUUUGUCCUUCCAGGUGGUUAUGAAGAAACAAUUGUCAAGGUAGAAGAAUGGGACAUAUUAAAUAGUUUGUAGGAUUUGUAACUUUAAAAUAUUUAGACGCAUGGUAUGUGGGCCUCCAACUGUACCCUUGCCCCAGGCCCUGCAAAUGUCGUAGGCGGCCUGGCAGGUGUGACCACAGUGAAGGAGAAAGGAAACCACCAGUUGCUGCCUGUAGAGAGCGGACAGGGGCGGGGAAGGAUGGGAGAGAGAGCAUAGUGGCACUCUGUUGGGAGCCUCUUGGUCAAUGUGAUUUUCUGCUUUGCCACUUGCAUACUUCACUUUGCUAAAGCUUAGGAAAAUUAUUUAAGUUCCCACCUCUCCUUGGAAUCUUCCUGAUCCCCAGCUCUCACCUUCCUUCUCUGAACUUCCACAACGCUCGGCAGCUGUGCAGCAUUCUUCCUGCCCCGACCUGCUCUCCCAGAGGCCUCUGCUGCCAACACCACCUGCCCAGGCCGACUAGCUGCCCACUUUCUAAGAGGUUCCCCUGGGCUGAAUCAACAAGCCUCAUUGCCAGGCCUCAGUGGUCUGCAGCCCCAGCCGAGCCCCUCCUCCACCCAUCUCUGGCCUGGUGCUCCCACCUGUACCUCCCCACGUCCCUUCAGGGCUGGGAGAAGCCCCUGCCCGCAGCCUCUGUCUGGUGGCGGGGAGGGGGAGCAGCACUGUGGAGCGCCUGGCGCCUGGCGCGUUAGUGAGGAGCAGGCGUCUGCGGCACCAAAUGGC